Molecule: ribosomal RNA, 711 nt
Filed under: uncultured bacterium
Lineage: Bacteria
Description: bacterial SSU rRNA
Rfam family: Bacterial small subunit ribosomal RNA
Source: RNAcentral
CACUAGUGAUUAGAGUUUGAUCCUGGCUCAGAACGAACGCUGGCGGCAGGCCUACACAUGCAAGUCGAACGCUGUAGCAAUACAGAGUGGCAGACGGGUGAGUAACACGUGGGAAUCUUCCUAUCGGUACGGAAUAGCUCAGGGAAACUUGGGGUAAUACCGCAUACGCCCUUCGGGGGAAAGAUUUAUCGCCGAUAGAUGAGCCCGCGUCUGAUUAGCUAGUUGGUGAGGUAAUGGCUCACCAAGGCGACGAUCAGUAGCUGGUCUGAGAGGAUGACCAGCCACACUGGGACUGAGACACGGCCCAGACUCCUACGGGAGGCAGCAGUGGGGAAUAUUGGACAAUGGGCGCAAGCCUGAUCCAGCCAUGCCGCGUGAGUGACGAAGGUCUUCGGAUUGUAAAGCUCUUUUGGCGGGGACGAUAAUGACGGUACCCGCAGAAUAAGCCCCGGCUAACUUCGUGCCAGCAGCCGCGGUAAUACGAAGGGGGCUAGCGUUGUUCGGAAUUACUGGGCGUAAAGCGCACGUAGGCGGAUUGCUAAGUCAGGGGUGAAAUCCCGGGGCUCAACCUCGGAACUGCCUUUGAUACUGACAGUCUUGAGUCCGGAAGAGGUGAGUGGAAUUCCUAGUGUAGAGGUGAAAUUCGUAGAUAUUAGGAAGAACACCAGUGGCGAAGGCGGCUCACUGGUCCGGUACUACGCUAGUCAAAGC